RNAcentral lists this ribosomal RNA (479 nucleotides) under uncultured bacterium. RNAcentral's name for it is "partial 16S ribosomal RNA". It matches the Rfam family "Bacterial small subunit ribosomal RNA", at positions 29 to 507 of the family's 1533-position model. The record is from RNAcentral.
AUGUACGCUAGCGGCAGGCCUAACACAUGCAAGUCGAGGGAGAGGUUACCUUCGGGUAACCAAAACCGGCGCACGGGUGCGUAACGCGUAUACAAUCUGCCUUUCACAUAGGGAUAGCCCGAAGAAAUUUGGAUUAAUACCUAAUGGUAUAUAAGAGCGGCAUCGUUUUUAUAUUAAAGCUACGGUGGUGAAAGAUGAGUAUGCGUUCUAUUAGCUAGUUGGAGAGGUAACGGCUCCCCAAGGCGACGAUAGAUAGGGGUUCUGAGAGGGAUGUCCCCCACACUGGUACUGAGAUACGGACCAGACUCCUACGGGAGGCAGCAGUGAGGAAUAUUGGACAAUGGUCGGAAGACUGAUCCAGCCAUGCCGCGUGCAGGAUGAAGGUCCUAUGGAUUGUAAACUGCUUUUGUAAGGGAAGAAUAAGGAGUACGUGUACUUUGAUGACGGUACCUUACGAAUAAGCAUCGGCUAACUCCGUG